This 254-nucleotide ribosomal RNA is filed under the name uncultured bacterium. RNAcentral describes it as "partial 16S ribosomal RNA". It matches the Rfam family "Bacterial small subunit ribosomal RNA", at positions 524 to 776 of the family's 1533-position model. The record is from RNAcentral.
UACGAAGGGGGCUAGCGUUGUUCGGAAUUACUGGGCGUAAAGCGCGCGUAGGCGGUUUUGCAAGCCAGAGGUGAAAUGCCUGAGCUCAACUUAGGAAUUGCCUUUGGGACUGCGAGGCUUUGAGGACGGGAGAGGUGAGUGGAAUUCCCAGUGUAGAGGUGAAAUUCGUAGAUAUUGGGAAGAACACCGGUGGCGAAGGCGGCUCACUGGCCCGUUUCUGACGCUGCAGCGCGAAAGCGUGGGGAUCAAUCAGG